UUCAGGGAAAGGCGAAAAGAACCCCGGAAGGGGAGUGAAAUAGAUCCUGAAACCGUGUGCAUACAAACAGUAGGAGCGGACUUGUUCCGUGACUGCGUACCUUUUGUAUAAUGGGUCAGCGACUUACAUUCAGUGGCAAGGUUAACCGAAUAGGGAAGCCGUAGAGAAAUCGAGUCCGAAUAGGGCGUUCAGUCGCUGGGUGUAGACCCGAAACCAAGUGAUCUACUCAUGGCCAGGUUGAAGGUGCCGUAACAGGUACUGGAGGACCGAACCCACUAAUGUUGAAAAAUUAGGGGAUGAGCUGUGGGUAGGGGUGAAAGGCUAAACAAACUUGGAAAUAGCUGGUUCUCUCCGAAAACUAUUUAGGUAGUGCCUCAAGUAUCACCAUCGGGGGUAGAGCACUGUUAUGGCUAGGGGGUCAUCGCGACUUACCAAACCAUUGCAAACUCCGAAUACCGAUGAGUGCGAGCUUGGGAGACAGACGUCGGGUGCUAGCGUCCGGCGUCAAGAGGGAAACAACCCAGACCGCCAGCUAAGGUCCCAAAGAUUGGCUAAGUGGAAAACGAAGUGGGAAGGCUAAAACAGUCAGGAGGUUGGCUUAGAAGCAGCCAUCCUUUAAAGAAAGCGUAAUAGCUCACUGAUCGAGUCGUCCUGCGCGGAAGAUGUAACGGGGCUAAGCCAGUCACCGAAGCUGCGGAUAUGUGUUUACACAUAUGGUAGGAGAGCGUUCUGUAAGCCUGCGAAGGUGUCUUGUAAAGGAUGCUGGAGGUAUCAGAAGUGCGAAUGCUGACAUGAGUAGCGAUAAUGGGGGUGAAAAGCCUCCACGCCGUAAGCCCAAGGUUUCCUGUUCAACGUUCAUCGGAGCAGGGUGAGUCGGCCCCUAAGGCGAGGCAGAGAUGCGUAGCUGAUGGGAAGCAGGUUAAUAUUCCUGCACCGUCGUUAGAUGCGAUGGGGGGACGGAUCGUGGAAGGUUGUCCGGGUGUUGGAUGUCCCGGUUUGUGCAUCAGAGAAGGCUGUUAGGCAAAUCCGGCAGCGUAAUUCAAGGGUGUGCGACGAGUGGCCUUGUGCCGCGAAGCAAUCGGAAGUGGUUCCAAGAAAAGCCUCUAAGCUUCAGUCUAACGAGACCGUACCGCAAACCGACACAGGUGGGCGAGAUGAGUAUUCUAAGGCGCUUGAGAGAACUCGGGAGAAGGAACUCGGCAAAUUGGUACCGUAACUUCGGGAUAAGGUACGCCCUUGUAGUUUGACUGGCCUGCGCCAGAAGGACGAAGGGGUUGCAAUAAAUUGGUGGCUGCGACUGUUUAAUAAAAACACAGCACUCUGCAAACACGAAAGUGGACGUAUAGGGUGUGACUCCUGCCCGGUGCUGGAAGAUUAAAUGAUGGGGUGCAAGCUCUUGAUUGAAGUCCCAGUAAACGGCGGCCGUAACAAUAACGGUCCUAAGGUAGCGAAAUUCCUUGUCGGGUAAGUUCCGACCUGCACGAAUGGAGUAACGAUGGCCACACUGUCUCCUCCCGAGACUCAGCGAAGUUGAAAUGUUUGUGAUGAUGCAAUCUACCCGCC
Molecule: ribosomal RNA, 1563 nt
Filed under: metagenome
Description: bacterial LSU rRNA
Rfam family: Bacterial large subunit ribosomal RNA
Source: RNAcentral